This 623-nucleotide ribosomal RNA is filed under the name uncultured bacterium. RNAcentral describes it as "bacterial SSU rRNA". It matches the Rfam family "Bacterial small subunit ribosomal RNA", at positions 37 to 642 of the family's 1533-position model. The record is from RNAcentral.
UGGCGGCGUGCCUAAUACAUGCAAGUCGAGCGAACAGAUAAGGAGCUUGCUCCUUUGACGUUAGCGGCGGACGGGUGAGUAACACGUGGAUAACCUACCUAUAAGACUGGGAUAACUUCGGGAAACCGGAGCUAAUACCGGAUAACAUAUUGAACCGCAUGGUUCAAUAGUGAAAGGCGGCUUUGCUGUCACUUAUAGAUGGAUCCGCGCCGUAUUAGCUAGUUGGUAAGGUAACGGCUUACCAAGGCAACGAUACGUAGCCGACCUGAGAGGGUGAUCGGCCACACUGGAACUGAGACACGGUCCAGACUCCUACGGGAGGCAGCAGUAGGGAAUCUUCCGCAAUGGGCGAAAGCCUGACGGAGCAACGCCGCGUGAGUGAUGAAGGUCUUCGGAUCGUAAAACUCUGUUAUCAGGGAAGAACAAAUGUGUAAGUAACUGUGCACAUCUUGACGGUACCUGAUCAGAAAGCCACGGCUAACUACGUGCCAGCAGCCGCGGUAAUACGUAGGUGGCAAGCGUUAUCCGGAAUUAUUGGGCGUAAAGCGCGCGUAGGCGGUUUUUUAAGUCUGAUGUGAAAGCCCACGGCUCAACCGUGGAGGGUCAUUGGAAACUGGAAAACU